RNA transcript from Homo sapiens (human), 2592 nucleotides. It is a transcript of the gene named TPTE2 pseudogene 2, with no coding region annotated. The transcript is spliced from 23 exons. NCBI's taxonomy places the organism in Eukaryota, Metazoa, Chordata, Mammalia, Primates, Hominidae. The record is from RefSeq and is a predicted model, not a curated record.
AACCGACCCCAACUUCUUCUGAGCGGCAGUGGCGCCAGAAGCAGUCUGGCUUUCAGAAUUCUGGAUUCAUUACCAGCGUCUACCAUAUGCUCUGACAACUAUGACCACAAUGGUCCACCCACAAAUGAAUUGACAACAGCAAACCCAGAGGCACGUAUCAAUGAAAGUCUACCCACGAAUGAAUUGACAACAGCAAACCCAGAGGCACGUAUCAAUGAAAGUCCCCAUCCUGUUGACCUGGUGGAAGUCAUCAUUGAUAGAGACACCCAUGACAUUCCCCACACAAGUGAACUGACAGGAGGAACCAAGGAGGCACGUAUCUACGAAAAUGUGUCAGAACGACUUUCCAGGUUUGAAGAUUAUGAAAAUGCUGAAUAUGUCGCUUCAUAUGACAGCAGGAUUAAGAAAAUUGUUCAUUCAAUUGUGUCAUCCUUUGCAGUUGGAAUAUUUGGAGUUUUCCUGAUCUUGUUGGAUGUGGCUCUGAUCUUUGCUGACCUAAUUUUCACUGAUAGCAAAGUUUAUAUUCCUUUGGAGUAUCAUUCUAUUUCUCUAGCUAUUGCUUUAUUUUUUCUCAUGGAUGUUCUUCUUCGAGUAUUUGUAGAAGGGAGACAGCAUUAUUUUUCUGAUUUACUUAACAUUUUAGAUACUGCUGUUACUGUGAUUAUUCUGCUGGUUGAUGUCGUUUACAUUUUUUUUGACGUUAAGUUUCUUAAGGAUAUUCCCAGAUGGACACGUUUAUUUCGACUUCUACGACUUAUCAUUCUGAUAAGAGUUUUUCAUCUGGCUCAUCUAAAAAGACAACUUGGAAAGCUGAUAAGAAGGCUGGUUUCAGGAAACAAAAGGUGAUACGAAAGUGAUGGAUUUGACCUAGACCUCACUUAUAUUACAGAACAUAUUGUCGCUAUGUCGUUUCCAUCUUCGGGAGGCCAGUCUUUCUAUCGGAAUCCAAUUAAGGAAGUCAUACAGUUUCUAGACAAAGAAACAUCCAAACCACUAUCGAGUCUACAAUCUAUGCAGUGAAAGAGCUUAUGAUCCUAAGCACUUCCAUAAUAGGGUCAGUAGAAUCAUGAUCGAUGAUCAUAAUGUCCCCACUCUACGGGAGAUGGUAGCAUUCUCCAAGGAAGUGUUGGAGUGGAUGGCUCAAGAUUCUGAAAACAUCGUAGUGAUUCACUGUAAAGGAGGCAAAGGAAGAACCGGAACUAUGGUUUGUGCCUGCCUGAUUGCCAGUGAAAUAUUUUUAACUGCAGAGGAAAGAUUGUACUAUUUUGGAGAACGGCGAACAGAUAAAACCAAUGGCACUAAAUAUCAGGGAGUAGAAACUCCUUCUCAGAAUAGAUAUGUUGGAUAUUUUGCACAAGUGAAACAUAGCUACAACUGGAAUCUCCCUCCAAGAAAAACACUGUUUAUAAAAAGAUUCGUUAUUUAUUCGAUUCAUGGUGUUGGAACAGGCGAUGGAUAUGAUCUAAAAGUCCAAAUAGUAAUGAAGAAAAAGAUUGUCUUUUCCUGUACUUCCUUAAAGAAUUGUCGGGUAUUUCAUGACACUGAAACAGACAGGGUAAUAACUGAUGUGUUCAACUGUCCACCUCUGUAUGAUGAUGUGAAAGUGCAAGCUUCCUCUUCAGAUUUUCCUAAAUACUAUCACAACUACCCUUUUUUCUUCUGGUUUAACACAUCUUUAAUACAAAAUAACGGGCUUUAUCUACAAAGAAAUGAAUUGGAUAAUCUUCAUAAACAAAAAACAUGGAAAAUUUAUCAACCAGAAUAUGCAGUAGAGAUAUAUUUUAAUGAGAAAUGACUUAAGUUAUGUUGUAACUGGUAGCUGAUUAAGUAUAGUUCCCUGCACCCCUUCUGGGAAAGAAUUAUGUUCUUUCUAACCCUGCCACAUAGUUAUAUGUUCUAAAUCUUCCUUGCUGGUACAUCUAUAUUGAUAUAUGUAUACACAUGUUCUUUAUAAAUCUAUUAAAUAUAUACAGAUAAAAUGUCAGGUUUUUUUUCUUUUUGAAGGCAUAUAUUUCACAGUUUCCAUCUUGUAUUUACAUACAUUUGGAACACAGUACUUAGGAACAUUAGGCGUCAUUUUGAAGAACUUUGAAAUAGAACUUUCGUAUCAAAAUAAUUGAGAGAUAAUUAAAAAUUGUGAUCCCCCAACACCCACUUACUUAUACAUUUUUGGUCAGGUAUUUAUUCCCUGCUUUUUUUCACAUUUGUAAUUUCAGGUUUAUUAGAAAGCUAAUUUAUAUUUUUCCUUCUACUCGAUUUACAAACUGUUAACAGAUUGGCAGCAAAGACUAAGUUUUAAACCCAGAAGAGAGAAAUAUUUCACACAAGCAGUCCCCCAACUCCCAACACACACUUUUCUCUUGUUCCAAGCACUAAAUGGGUAGCUUACUUAACAAGCUUCCUUUAAUUACACACAGACAUGGGGGUUGGGGUAAGAAGGGCGUAGUAAAUAUGAAGGAGAAGUAACCUUCAGUAACUUCUGCUUUUGUAUAAAAUUGUAAGUGAAGUCAAAAGAAAUAUUUGUUCUUAGAGUAAUUUAGGUGUAUUAUUUUGAAAUCCACUACUCCUGCUCACAACCAAUGUCACCUAAGC